GAAAGAUAGUGGCGAACGGGUGAGUAACACGUGGGUAACCUGCCCAUAAGAGGGGGAUAACAUCCGGAAACGGGUGCUAAUACCGCAUAGUUUUCUUGAUCGCAUGAUCGGGAAAGGAAAGACGGCCUUUGUGCUGUCGCUUAUGGAUGGACCCGCGGCGUAUUAGUUAGUUGGUGAGGUAACGGCUCACCAAGACGAUGAUACGUAGCCGACCUGAGAGGGUGAUCGGCCACAUUGGGACUGAGACACGGCCCAAACUCCUACGGGAGGCAGCAGUAGGGAAUCUUCCGCAAUGGACGAAAGUCUGACGGAGCAACGCCGCGUGAGUGAAGAAAGGUUUUCGGAUCGUAAAACUCUGUUGUCAGAGAAGAACAAGUUGGAGAGUAACUGCUCCAGCCUUGACGGUAUCUGACCAGAAAGCCACGGCUAACUACGUGCCAGCCGCAGC
Molecule: ribosomal RNA, 448 nt
Filed under: uncultured bacterium
Lineage: Bacteria
Description: bacterial SSU rRNA
Rfam family: Bacterial small subunit ribosomal RNA
Source: RNAcentral